This is a long non-coding RNA of Corticium candelabrum, 396 nucleotides long. RefSeq lists it as uncharacterized. Lineage: Eukaryota; Metazoa; Porifera; Homoscleromorpha; Homosclerophorida; Plakinidae. The transcript has 4 exons. The record is from RefSeq and is a predicted model, not a curated record.
AUAGAGGUCCAACAGGUCCGAGGGGCAUAGAGGGAUUGGAUGGCGUUCCGGGAUCUGCAGGUCCUGUUGGUACGCAAGGUCCGCACGGUCCGAAAGGAGUAAAAGGAGCCAUUGGAUUACCGGGAUCAAAGGGAGAGGCGGGACCGCAGGGCAUCCCUGGACCAGAGGUUCGAAAUUGAGCUGAAUUUCUAUUGUCAUGAUAAUGUUUGCUUUGGAUAGAUGAGUUUAGAUGUUUUAAAUCGCUAUUUUAACCCGGUCAAAGGACUAUUACAAUAGGUACAAGAACUGGAACAGUGGAAACAACAGGUAACAAAAUGUACUAUCUGAUCAACGGUCACGCCUCUCUUCUGUCAUUUUAAUUAAAGGAAAUCCAACGACUGAUAAAGUGUACUACAC